UAUCAGCUUCCUGGAAAAGUUCAACAACAAGAGGAGAUAAUCAAUUAAUCCUUUAAUCUGGUUGUCAAGAAAAAGAAUGCAGAUUAAUUCCUGAAUAUUAAUUUAUUUUCAAUCUAAAGCAAUUUGAUCAAUAUUUCAACAUUACUCUGGUAAACCCGAUGAUAAUUUGCUGGAACUGAGGACAUUCCCACUUGCUCUGACCAUUCGGCGAUUUUGGUCAUCUCACUGUUCAUCGUUGUUUGAAUCAUAUCAAUUGAAUAGUUUCGACGAACUCCCAAUUCAUCAAAUAUAAUUUUACCCGUUAAUCCUUCAAUGUUGGUCUUUUAAGGUAUUGUUUGAUUAACUUGCCGUGUUCCCAGUGGAGUGUUGGAUAAGUUUCAGCGCAAUUGAUUCCCGGUUUUGGACUAUUUCCAUUGUAAACCUCAUUACCUCUUAAGUUUCCAUCGAAAAUGUUUGGAUGUUCAAUUAGUAUUCGCUCGAGUGUGUCCAAUAAUAUUCUGGUUCCGUCAAACAUGAGAGCAGCAUCGGCCUGAGAAAUUGAUUAUCGAUAAACAAUCAACGGAUAAGAAUAAUUCAAUUUAUUAUUCAGGAGGCAAAAAAAAAACUCCGGUUAACAAACGGAUAUUAUGUCAAGAUGAUGAUGACAUGAUAAAUGAUAUUAAUAAAUGAUUGAAAUAGUUGAAUGGUUUCACCGAAACUCAGGUAACCAGAAAAAUAUUCAAAAAACAAAAUCAACUGAUGAAAAAUAUUUCAAAAAGAUGAAAUUUUACCUCAUGAUAGCGAAAGGCGAAAGUUAUAUUACCAUUAUUAAUAGAGAUUCUGUAAGUUAAAUUCUUGUUCAAUAGAUAUUUUCAUGAGAAACUAUCAGAACUUUUUUUUCUUGAUUUUCUCUUAACAUUUUUGUGGAUUUUUUUUCUUUACCUUUCUUGAUCAUUAUCUCAGAAUUUAUUCUGUUCUGGAAAAUUACUCAGACAAAAGAGAUACAAUGAAUAUCCCGUUAUCCCUGAUUCUUUCCAGAAAAAAAAACUGAGAAUCUAAUAACUUUAUAUGUCAGUUGAACUUCGUGGUCUUAAUAAUAUAUAUUGCUGAUGUUCUGGUUGUGAUGAAGUAAAAAAUGGUUUCAAGGUAAAUUAUUAAUACAAAUUCUACCUCUCGACAGCUCAUAUCAAGAAUGGAAAAUAAGAAUAAGAAUUUUCUCUCUCGCUGGAGACUUACCGAUAUGUAUCGAUGUCCAGCACCAGGCCAAUGGAAUGGAUCUAAUGUUUUCCAUGAUGAGAUGAAAGUUCGGAAAAAAAUUGAACUACGAUUAAGAAUUCGAAAUCCUGUUAUAUUAAUUGCACCAAAU
Molecule: long non-coding RNA, 1345 nt
Organism: Panonychus citri (citrus red mite)
Lineage: Eukaryota; Metazoa; Arthropoda; Arachnida; Trombidiformes; Tetranychidae
Exons: 6
Source: RefSeq, a predicted model, not a curated record